RNAcentral lists this ribosomal RNA (497 nucleotides) under uncultured bacterium. Its description in RNAcentral is "partial 16S ribosomal RNA". It matches the Rfam family "Bacterial small subunit ribosomal RNA", at positions 28 to 507 of the family's 1533-position model. The record is from RNAcentral.
GAUGAACGCUGGCGGCGUGCCUAAUACAUGCAAGUCGAGCGAACAGACGAGGAGCUUGCUCCUCUGACGUUAGCGGCGGACGGGUGAGUAACACGUGGAUAACCUACCUAUAAGACUGGGAUAACUUCGGGAAACCGGAGCUAAUACCGGAUAAUAUAUUGAACCGCAUGGUUCAAUAGUGAAAGACGGUUUUGCUGUCACUUAUAGAUGGAUCCGCGCCGCAUUAGCUGGUUGGUAAGGUAACAGCUUACCAAGGCAACGAUGCGUAGCCGACCUGAGAGGGUGAUCGGCCACACUGGAACUGAGACACGGUCCAGACUCCUACGGGAGGCAGCAGUAGGGAAUCUUCCGCAAUGGGCGAAAGCCUGACGGAGCAACGCCGCGUGAGUGAUGAAGGUCUUCGGAUCGUAAAACUCUGUUAUUAGGGAAGAACAAAUGUGUAAGUAACUAUGCACGUCUUGACGGUACCUAAUCAGAAAGCCACGGCUAACUACGUG